This 201-nucleotide ribosomal RNA is filed under the name uncultured bacterium. Its description in RNAcentral is "partial 16S ribosomal RNA". It matches the Rfam family "Bacterial small subunit ribosomal RNA", at positions 1300 to 1500 of the family's 1533-position model. The record is from RNAcentral.
GCAGGCUGCAACCCGCCUGCGUGAAGUUGGAAUCGCUAGUAAUCGCGGAUCAGCAUGCCGCGGUGAAUACGUUCCCGGGCCUUGUACACACCGCCCGUCACACCAUGAGAGUCGGGAACACCCGAAGUCCGUAGCCUAACAGCAAUGGGGGCGCGGCCGAAGGUGGGUUCGAUAAUUGGGGUGAAGUCGUAACAAGGUACC